CCUCCACCGCUUGGAUUUACGAAGGGGCCGACCCCCAUCUCUUUUUUCUCUCUUCCUCUCCAUCGUCUGCUCCCAUCUUUCUCCUCACAAAUUAUUGCUGGGGCAUGGCUGUGUUGAGCAGGGUCAUGGAGCCGGCGAAGCUGGGCUGCAUCUUGCGGCGGCGGUUGGCAGAAGAAUCCUCGCCGCCAUCAAAAACGGCGGAGGAGGAGGAAGCAGGCGCGAAGAACUGAAGCGCCCCGUGGAUGGUGGUGGCGAUGGAGGGGACAAUACCGACCACCAUGGCUGCCAUGAUGGCCGGCUCGGAUUGCUGCGGCAGCCAGCGGGUCCCGCCGUCCGGUUUGUGCCCUAGCCGGGUUCAUGCUUCCGUGGAAGAAAAACAGAUCCAAGUACGCGAACUCCAUCACGAUGGGGUUGCAGGCCAUCUCAGCCAUCAUCCACCACCGCGACGUCCUGGGACGCGAGGCCUUCCUCACGGUCGGCCUCCAUUACAUCAUGGGUACUGCAACAUCCAUCUCCCCUUCCAUCCAUUGUCUCUGGCGGCACAGGGGGGACCUCGGUGCCGUCUUCUCCAUCCUGACUCCUGAUAGGCGGAACAUGGGAGUAGCCGACGCUGGCUGUUGCUCUCUUCCAGAUGCAGUCCUCCGUGAUGCAUUGUUGUUCCCGUGGUGAGCAUUCUCUUUCUGUCUAUGUAUCUAAAUCUCUUUCGAUCGAACAACACAGGGGAGGGGCCAUGGUUGCAGGGGAGUUCUCAUUUGGAGAUUUUCUUUUAGUUUCAUCUUGCCUGAUCUAGCCAAAAGAAUUCAGGAAGAACCAUAAGAGAAAAAGAAACAUAUAGGUAUACUUCUUCUCUGAACUGAUCUAGCCACAGGAAUUCAGGAAAAACCAGAAGAGAAAAAAAUUAGAGGAAAUGUACUAAAUUUUCUCAAGAAAGGGGAUGAGCGCGCCCUACUGAAUUAUGUCUGUUGUUUGCUGCUUCUGGAGUAGCAGCAUAUCAUGUUUCUUUUGAACUUGAGACGCAGAUUAGGAUGGGACAUUAGGAACUACAGGGCUGUACAGGCAAGCUGAUGAACAAACAUACUGUUGUAUCGAGUAAUGCAAAUAACCAGAUAAGUUCAGCAUCAUGAUAUUUGGUGGCAUCUGCCCUAGGCAGUAUGCAAGUAAGCAUAUGUUCUUAUCUAUCUAAGUUGCAAUUGAAAAAUUGUCAGUGCUCAAUUCUACUGCAAGCUUUGUGCAAAACAAUUAUAUGCUCUAAUCACCCAGAGAUGGUAUUGCAGAAUUCUACUGACAAUAUAUGUUCAGUUACAUACAGUCUGCAAGGCAACAUAUGUUCUUAUCGCUCUAAGCUGCAAUUCACAAAUUCUAAAUGUUCAGUUCUGCCGCAAACAGUGUGCAAGAAAAUGAUAAGCUCUAAUCAACCAGAUAUGAUAUUGGAGAAUUCUGAACACUUUGGGUAGGUCGGUGUGUUAUGGUUAAACUUAAAUUGUUAUUGUCUUCAACAGUUUCCAGUUGUGCUGCUGGUUGCUCGUGUG
Molecule: long non-coding RNA, 1529 nt
Organism: Lolium perenne
Lineage: Eukaryota; Viridiplantae; Streptophyta; Magnoliopsida; Poales; Poaceae
Source: RefSeq, a predicted model, not a curated record